CCCCGGGCCAUGGUUCCUCAUAAAGCUUUGUUUAAUUUUCUCUUGCUAUUCUGUCUCAUGUGAAUUUGAAUUCGUUCUCCGGCCAGACGAACCCCCAUUUGGGGAGAGGAAACGUCCUCCUCCCCUACAAUACUUAUCUGCUUUACUUUUUUGUAGAGGAAUAUAAGGAAUAAGCCUUCUGGCCAGGUUGAGAGCUUUCACCCAACUGGAUUCAGUACCUACCUGGCCAUGCCUCCCUCCUAAGAGAAUACUGAGAGCUGAGAGGACACUCAGAGACUGCAGCAGUGCUAGCAAUGGGGAGACACCUACCACGCGGCUUCAUACACCCUUCUUUCAAGGACAAAGUCUUUUUUCCAGCUGACUGGGGUUAAGUUUAUAUGAUAAAUAUAUGGAGAAAUGUGUGUUUUCUCCUUGAUCGUUUCUUUCAGGUGUUGCCCCAUCUCUGGUAACUUCCUGUUUCCUGUAUCUCCUGAGGAAGCCUGAGCAUGUCAGACAAGGAAACAGGCUCAAUGUCUUCAUGAGGCUACAGCCUCACUGACAUUUACUGUCUGGGUUUCCAGGUCUUGGGACAACAUGGAAAUAUGAAGAACUGGUAUCUCAUCAGAAAACUGACAUCGUUCACUAUACACAUCAGCUGUGGGCUUUGAAAUGGAAGCCAAGAGGAAAUCUUUCCAUUUCUUGAUGUAUGCCCUUUAAAAUGGAACCUACUGAAGACCCCCCAGUGGAAAUCCAACAGGGUCAUCAUUGGUUAAAGUUAUGGAUCAUAAGGAAUAUUCAAGCUAAAUAUAUUAAUGAGAAGCAUAAAAGUGAUCACUCAGAAAAUUCACCUGAGGAUUAUCUUUAAAAAUAAUAAUUGUGAGGGGCUGGC
This 868-nucleotide long non-coding RNA is filed under the name Equus caballus (horse). Its description in RNAcentral is "lncRNA (ENSECAG00000037406.2)". The record is from RNAcentral. Lineage: Eukaryota; Metazoa; Chordata; Mammalia; Perissodactyla; Equidae.